AGUGAACGCUGGCGGCAGGCCUAACACAUGCAAGUCGAACGCAUCGCAAGAUGAGUGGCAGACGGGUGAGUAACGCGUGGGAACAUACCCUUUUCUACGGAAUAGCUCUGGGAAACUGGAAUUAAUACCGUAUACGCCCUACGGGGGAAAGAUUUAUCGGGGAAGGAUUGGCCCGCGUUGGAUUAGCUAGUUGGUGGGGUAAAGGCCUACCAAGGCGACGAUCCAUAGCUGGUCUGAGAGGAUGAUCAGCCACAUUGGGACUGAGACACGGCCCAAACUCCUACGGGAGGCAGCAGUGGGGAAUAUUGGACAAUGGGCGCAAGCCUGAUCCAGCCAUGCCGCGUGAGUGAUGAAGGCCUUAGGGUUGUAGAGCUCUUUCACCGAUGAAGAUAAUGACGGUAGUCGGAGAAGAAGCCCCGGCUAACUUCGUGCCAGCAGCCGCCGUAA
RNAcentral lists this ribosomal RNA (447 nucleotides) under uncultured bacterium. RNAcentral's name for it is "partial 16S ribosomal RNA". It matches the Rfam family "Bacterial small subunit ribosomal RNA", at positions 29 to 523 of the family's 1533-position model. The record is from RNAcentral.